RNAcentral lists this ribosomal RNA (317 nucleotides) under uncultured bacterium. Its description in RNAcentral is "bacterial SSU rRNA". It matches the Rfam family "Bacterial small subunit ribosomal RNA", at positions 24 to 368 of the family's 1533-position model. The record is from RNAcentral.
UCAGGAUGAACGCUGGCGGCGUGCCUAAUACAUGCAAGUCGUGCGACUCUUCGAGAGGAGCGGCGGACGGCUGAGUAACGCGUGGGAACGUGCCCCAAAGUGAGGGAUAACUGCUCGAAAGGGUAGCUAAUAUCGCAUAUGAUCUUCGGAUUAAAGCAUUUAUGCGCUUUGGGAGCGGCCCGCGUCGGAUUAGCUUGUUGGUGAGGUAAAGGCUCACCAAGGCGACGAUCCGUAGCUGGUCUGAGAGGAUGAUCAGCCAGACUGGAACUGAGACACGGUCCAGACUCCUACGGGAGGCAGCAGUAAGGAAUCUUCCA